CCUACGGGCGGCAGCAGUGGGGAAUAUUGCACAAUGGGCGAAAGCCUGAUGCAGCAACGCCGCGUGAAGGAAGACGGUUUUCGGAUUGUAAACUUCUAUCAAUAGGGAAGAAAGAAAUGACGGUACCUAAAUAAGAAGCCCCGGCUAACUACGUGCCAGCAGCCGCGGUAAUACGUAGGGGGCAAGCGUUAUCCGGAAUUACUGGGUGUAAAGGGAGAGUAGGUGGCAAGGUAAGCGAUAUGUGAAAGCCUUAAGCUUAACUUAAGGAUUGCAUAACGAACUAUCUAGCUAGAGUACAGGAGAGGAAAGCGGAAUUCCUAGUGUAGCGGUGAAAUGCGUAGAUAUUAGGAAGAACUCCGAUUGCGAAGGCAGCAUACCGGCGCGCAACUGACGCUCAUGCACGAAAGCGUGGGUAUCGAACAGGAUUAGAUACCCCUGUAGUC
This 443-nucleotide ribosomal RNA is filed under the name uncultured bacterium. Its description in RNAcentral is "partial 16S ribosomal RNA". It matches the Rfam family "Bacterial small subunit ribosomal RNA", at positions 338 to 795 of the family's 1533-position model. The record is from RNAcentral.